GGCGGGGCCUCGGGGUGGCGAGGGGGACCGGGCAGGGGGCGGGGCCUCGGGGUGGCGAGGGGGACCGGGCAGGGGGCGGGGCCUCGGGGUGGCGAGGGGGACCCGGGCAGGGGGCGGGGCCUCGGGGUGGCGAGGGGGACCGGGCAGGGGGCGGGGCCUCGGGGUGGCGAGGGGGACCGGGCAGGGGGCGGGGCCUCGGGGUGGCGAGGGGGACCGGGCAGGGGGCGGGGCCUCGGGGUGGCGAGGGGGACCCGGGCAGGGGGCGGGGCCUCGGGGUGGCGAGGGGGACCGGGCAGGGGGCGGGGCCUCGGGGUGGCGAGGGGGACCGGGCAGGGGGCGGGGCCUCGGGGUGGCGAGGGGGACCGGGCAGGGGGCGGGGCCUCGGGGUGGCGAGGGGGACCGGGCAGGGGGCGGGGCCUCGGGGUGGCGAGGGGGACCCGGGCAGGGGGCGGGGCCUCGGGGUGGCGAGGGGGACCGGGCAGGGGGCGGGGCCUCGGGGUGGCGAGGGGGACCGGGCAGGGGGCGGGGCCUCGGGGUGGCGAGGGGGUCCGGGACCGGGACCGGGACCGGGGCCGGGGCCGGGACCGGGACCGGGGCCGGGAGGAGGGGCGGGCUGCGGCGGGAGGAGGACGGGGUCCUGGAAGCCGGAAGCCGCCAGCCGCCAGCCGCCCCGCCUCGCGCCGGAAGUCCCGCUGGCGGCAAAGUUAACGGCAGUGGUUGGCGCGUCCGCGUCGGAGUCGCUGGUUCUCGAGGCUGCCGGCUGCGCGCCCCCUGCCCCCACCGAAGCUGACGUGCCCGAGCGGACCCGGGGAGCGUCCGCCGUCCCGGGGCGCUGUGGACGUGACUUCGGGGAGCUGGCUGUCCUGGUCCCAGCCUGCUCCGCCUCCCCGGUGACUGCGUCGGGGUGUGCAGAAUCAGCGGUGGGCCCGCUGGGAGAUGCGACGCCGGGAAGGAAGGCUCUGGGUGGCAGGCCAAACCCCGUGCCUCUGAAGUCGGAGUUUGCUUCCCAUCCAGUGGAAGGCGAGGGCCCUCCGGAUGAAGAAGUCUCAGUUUCAAAUUGUAAUCCUCUCCAGAAGGAAGUUUCACCAAAGCAGACAACUCUUUUUCUGAAAAUUCCACAUUUACAUUAUUCUUCUGAACAUUCUUGAUCAUAAGUGUAAUGAUUACUUGAGAUUCUGUUUGAUACCAGUCAUACUUGAUUUUUGACUGAUGAGUCCUUUAAGAAUCAGACACCUCAGGCUGUGAUCCAUUCUGAGCCUCUUGACACUUUUUGAUCCAGACAGUGAAAUCAGGAUCUGCACUAUGGAUUUCUAUGCCGUGAAGAUACACAGUGAAGCCAGGAAACAGCUCCUCGAAGUCUGAAUGAUUCGUACAAAAAUUUCCAAAGGCUCCAGCAACAAGCACUCCGUGGGGGUGAAACCCAAAUAUAUAGUUGUGACUUGGAUCCAAAUCCCAAGUUUUUGAUGACUAAUUGGAAAAUAGUCCUUAAAAUACCUCCAAACGGUCCAGCUUCUGACCCAGUUGGAUCUCCUGCCUCCCUGCUCUGGGUCCGCCAGUUCAGAAUCAAAAUGGUGAGUUAAACAUUGAAGACUACAAAAUAAUGCCAUCUUUGUGAAUAAAAAUAUGCAUAAAUUAUUUCUACUUAUUAUAGAUACACAUAUGUGAGAAAAUAUCACAAAUGAACAACUUAUGAUGAUUUAUACCAAUUCAUGACAAAAGGUUACUUUUGGGAAGGGAUGGUUAACUUUAUAAUAUUUUAUUUCUUGAAAUAAAAAGACUGGAAAUAAAUCAAAUGACGUGUAAAAUUUGUUGUAUUUGGGAGCUGUAUUUUAGUUAUUUUUUGUGCUUUUCUGUUUUUUAAAUUUUCUUAAAAUUAAAAAAUUGUCUUCUAGACCAUAAGAUCUUUAAGAGCAUACAAUGUUAUUACUAUAUUAUCGACUUUUCCCUAUGCUGUACUUUUUAUCUUUAUGUACCAUCUAUUGAUUUUUGACAAAGAUGACAAAAUAACGUAGAGAGGAAAAUUAAACCUUAAUAGUCAACAUAAUAAUAUUAUUGGCUCAAAGGAAUAUACUGACGUCAAGUCAAAAGGAAGACAGGAAAUGCUGACAUGCUGAGUCAAAGAUUAAGGUCAACAUUUCUGGAGAGCAUGACAGGAGCACAUUAGAAAGCACCAGUUAAGAUCUAGUCAAUCUUGCUUGUUAUUGUUGCCAUGUUUUAAGUGUGUGUUCCUGGUCUUGCUAGUGAGUACUUCUUG
This 2254-nucleotide long non-coding RNA is filed under the name Canis lupus familiaris (dog). Its description in RNAcentral is "lncRNA (ENSCAFG00000057446.1)". Lineage: Eukaryota; Metazoa; Chordata; Mammalia; Carnivora; Canidae. The record is from RNAcentral.